Molecule: long non-coding RNA, 671 nt
Filed under: Homo sapiens (human)
Lineage: Eukaryota; Metazoa; Chordata; Mammalia; Primates; Hominidae
Description: non-protein coding lnc-FAM207A-6:1
Source: RNAcentral
AGCCUCACUCCAGACUGGGCUAUGCUCCCUGUACCAACCUGUACCAAGGGAGAGGCCCGGCACACCAGCCUGCUCCAACCACACAGAACACCCUGAGACUCUGCCCACUACUCAAAGCGCUGCUACUAAGGAAGGGGUCAAACUCCACGCAGCCAACAGCUCUGGAACUCAAGCCAGUCAGAAGCAAGAGCGACUGCAUGAGUAACUUCCAACAUGCAACCAAGCUGACUGCCUACUCCCCCAAUCCUGUAACACACACACACACACACACACAGCCUACUCCCCCAAUCCCAUAACACACACACACACACGCAGACUGCCUACUCCCCCAAUCCCGUAACACACACACAGACUGCCUACUCCCCCAAUCCCAUAACACACACACACACACACAGACUGCCUACUCCAAUCCCAUAACACACACACACACACACACACACAGAGACUGCCUACUCCAAUCCCAUAACACACACACACACACACACACAGAGUGCCUACUCCCCCAAUCCCAUAACACACACACACACACACACGCAGACUGCCUACUCCCCCAAUCCCGUAACACACACGCAGACUGCCUACUCCCCCAAUCCCGUAACACACACACAGACUGCCUACUCCCCCAAUCCCAUAACACACACACACACACAGACUGCCUACUCCAAUCCCAU